RNAcentral lists this long non-coding RNA (763 nucleotides) under Elaeis guineensis (African oil palm). Its description in RNAcentral is "long non-coding RNA (EGUI_LNC071257)". The record is from RNAcentral. Lineage: Eukaryota; Viridiplantae; Streptophyta; Magnoliopsida; Arecales; Arecaceae.
AGGGCGAAUCAAUACAGCAACGACCAAGAAUCUUCAAACAACGUUGACGUCCAACAGGACGAAAGACAAAAGAAGCUCAGUAAACAACGAUACAGCGAUGACCAAGAAUCUUCAAACAACGUCAACAUCCAACAGGAUGAAAGACAAAAGAAGCUCAAUAAAUAACGACUCAAAGCAAGAAUAGAUGAGGUAAUGAGAAAAAUUCUAUUUCAUUUCAUUAGUAAAACAUGCGUUACGAAGCCUUUGAAGGCCGAGAUUCAGGGGACCUCGCCUCAACGAGAAAGAAGACCCUUAUCAAAAAUCUUCGGUUCCAAAGGGCGAAUCAGCACAGCGACGAUCAGGAAUCUUCAAACAACGUCGACGUCAAACAGGAUGAAAGACAAAAGAAGUUUGGUAAACGAUAACUCAAUACCAAAAUAGACAAGGUAAUGGACAACUUCAUUUUCAUUUCAUUGGUGAAGUACACAUUACAAAGCCUUGAAGGUCAAAAACAAAAGAAAAACGACCAGAGGAAAAAAAAGGAAUACAUAAAAAAAAAGAAGAAAGGAGCUCUAAGGAAGCCCGACUUCUUUUGACUUCGAGCUCUCGGUCUCAGUCCUUAUUAGGGAUUGCCGUAAGUUUUCAACUUCUUCCUCUAGUUCCAUCUUUCUCAGCAGCAUAUUCCGGUACAUCUGGUGGAACCACCGGCUCUCGCCUUCCGACUCUCGAAGCCUCUUCCUCAGGACCUCAGACUCCGCCUCGACAUCUUUGAUCGCCUGUUGCU